This 1284-nucleotide ribosomal RNA is filed under the name metagenome. RNAcentral's name for it is "bacterial SSU rRNA". It matches the Rfam family "Bacterial small subunit ribosomal RNA", at positions 199 to 1498 of the family's 1533-position model. The record is from RNAcentral.
GAUUAAAGGUAUUCCGGUAGACGAUGGGGAUGCGUUCCAUUAGAUAGUAGGCGGGGUAACGGCCCACCUAGUCUUCGAUGGAUAGGGGUUCUGAGAGGAAGGUCCCCCACAUUGGAACUGAGACACGGUCCAAACUCCUACGGGAGGCAGCAGUGAGGAAUAUUGGUCAAUGGGCGCAGGCCUGAACCAGCCAAGUAGCGUGAAGGAUGACUGCCCUAUGGGUUGUAAACUUCUUUUAUAAAGGAAUAAAGUCGGGUAUGUAUACCCGUUUGCAUGUACUUUAUGAAUAAGGAUCGGCUAACUCCGUGCCAGCAGCCGCGGUAAUACGGAGGAUCCGAGCGUUAUCCGGAUUUAUUGGGUUUAAAGGGAGCGUAGAUGGAUGUUUAAGUCAGUUGUGAAAGUUUGCGGCUCAACCGUAAAAUUGCAGUUGAUACUGGAUAUCUUGAGUGCAGUUGAGGCAGGCGGAAUUCGUGGUGUAGCGGUGAAAUGCUUAGAUAUCACGAAGAACUCCGAUUGCGAAGGCAGCCUGCUAAGCUGCAACUGACAUUGAGGCUCGAAAGUGUGGGUAUCAAACAGGAUUAGAUACCCUGGUAGUCCACACGGUAAACGAUGAAUACUCGCUGUUUGCGAUAUACAGCAAGCGGCCAAGCGAAAGCGUUAAGUAUUCCACCUGGGGAGUACGCCGGCAACGGUGAAACUCAAAGGAAUUGACGGGGGCCCGCACAAGCGGAGGAACAUGUGGUUUAAUUCGAUGAUACGCGAGGAACCUUACCCGGGCUUAAAUUGCAGAUGAAUUACGGUGAAAGCCGUAAGCCGCAAGGCAUCUGUGAAGGUGCUGCAUGGUUGUCGUCAGCUCGUGCCGUGAGGUGUCGGCUUAAGUGCCAUAACGAGCGCAACCCUUGUUGUCAGUUACUAACAGGUUCCGCUGAGGACUCUGACAAGACUGCCAUCGUAAGAUGUGAGGAAGGUGGGGAUGACGUCAAAUCAGCACGGCCCUUACGUCCGGGGCUACACACGUGUUACAAUGGGGGGUACAGAGGGCCGCUACCACGCGAGUGGAUGCCAAUCCCCAAAACCUCUCUCAGUUCGGACUGGAGUCUGCAACCCGACUCCACGAAGCUGGAUUCGCUAGUAAUCGCGCAUCAGCCACGGCGCGGUGAAUACGUUCCCGGGCCUUGUACACACCGCCCGUCAAGCCAUGGGAGCCGGGGGUGCCUGAAGUGCGUAACCGCGAGGAGCGCCCUAGGGUAAAACUGGUGACUGGGGCUAAGUCGUAACAAGGUA